GCCCGUCCCAUUGUGCUACCAUACCUGUCUUAACGUCAUCCCGAUCAAAAGGCGAGAUCCAUGCAAAACCCGCCCUAAACCGGCGGUUCGAGCGAGCAGGCCGGUUUUUGUGAUAUUCAAUUGUGCUUUAGAUGAGACGUCUAGGGUUUAGUUGCGGGUUUCCUCUCCUUUCACAACGCAUCACCCACCAAGUCGCGAGACGAGAUCUUCCACUUCCUACCCGGUGCCGCCGCCGCCCCCACCUGGUAUGCCUCUCUGUUCCCCUCCCUCCAUCUAUCUGUCUCCUUCUCAACCCCAAUCCUAUUCUGGUCGUUGUUUUUUUGUUUGAAAAAUGAUCUCUUUUUUUAGUGUUAGAUGUUUCACUAACUACCGUUCAUUCUCUCUAGAUCCCACCAAUAAUUCACUAAUUCAGUCCCUAGUCGGUACUCUAUAAUUGGUUAGAGGAAGCCGCCUUUUUUAAGAAGAAAGAUAAGAAUCAGCCUUCAGUUCAUUCCGUUUCAUGACAGUAGGGAAUACCUUGAUUUAAUUUGAUGAAAAUUGAAAGUUUGUUUUUAAUAAAGUGACAUCUUUCUGUUUGUUCCCUUUUUUUUUCAAACAAUUUGUGUUUAAACUUUUAUACGCCCCCACAAAAAUUAUAAGACAUAGUGUAAGUUGAUUUUUUUCAUGUAUAUAUUUUCAGAUCUAUUUUCUUUUAAAUA
RNAcentral lists this long non-coding RNA (698 nucleotides) under Phoenix dactylifera (date palm). RNAcentral's name for it is "long non-coding RNA (PDAC_LNC019301)". The record is from RNAcentral. Lineage: Eukaryota; Viridiplantae; Streptophyta; Magnoliopsida; Arecales; Arecaceae.